Molecule: ribosomal RNA, 398 nt
Filed under: uncultured bacterium
Lineage: Bacteria
Description: bacterial SSU rRNA
Rfam family: Bacterial small subunit ribosomal RNA
Source: RNAcentral
UAUUGCACAAUGGGGGAAACCCUGAUGCAGCGACGCCGCGUGGGCGAAGAAGUAUUUCGGUAUGUAAAGCCCUAUCAGCAGGGAAGAAGAAAUGACGGUACCUGAGUAAGAAGCACCGGCUAAAUACGUGCCAGCAGCCGCGGUAAUACGUAGGGGGCAAGCGUUAUCCGGAUUUACUGGGUGUAAAGGGAGCGUAGACGGCAGCACAAGUCUGGAGUGAAAUGCCGGGGCUUAACCCCGGAACUGCUUUGGAAACUGUGCAGCUAGAGUGCAGGAGAGGUAAGUGGAAUUCCUAGUGUAGCGGUGAAAUGCGUAGAUAUCGCGCAGAACUCCGAUUGCGAAGGCAGCGUACCGGCGCCGGCCUGACGCUGAGGCACGAAAGCGUGGGUAUCGAACAG